Molecule: ribosomal RNA, 514 nt
Filed under: uncultured bacterium
Lineage: Bacteria
Description: partial 16S ribosomal RNA
Rfam family: Bacterial small subunit ribosomal RNA
Source: RNAcentral
GACGAACGCUGGCGGCAUGCCUAAUACAUGCAAGUCGAGCGGACAGAAGGGAGCUUGCUCCCGAAAGUCAGCGGCGGACGGGUGAGUAACACGUGGGCAACCUGCCCCUUAGAUUGGGAUAACUUCGGGAAACCGAAGCUAAUACCGAAUAAUACAAGGAACCUCCUGGUUCUCUGUUGAAAGAUGGCCUUUGUGCUGUCACUAAGGGAUGGGCCCGCGGCGCAUUAGCUAGUUGGUAAGGUAACGGCUUACCAAGGCGACGAUGCGCAGCCGACCUGAGAGGGUGAUCGGCCACACUGGGACUGGGACACGGCCAAGACUCCUACGGGAGUCAGCAGUAGGGAAUCUUCCGCAAUGGACGAAAGUCUGACGGAGCAAUGCCGCGUGAGUGAGGAAGGCCUUCGGGUCGUAAAGCUCUGUUGUGAGGGAAGAACAAGUACCGGCGUAACUACCGGUACCGUGACGGCACCUCACCAGAAAGCCACGGCUAACUACGUGCCAGCCGCCGCCGUAA